GGUGUGUAGCUCAGCAGGUCAGAGCGCCGGUUUCAUAUGCCGGAAGUCGACGGUUCGAACCCGUCCACCACCACCA
This 76-nucleotide transfer RNA is filed under the name Rhodococcus (subgen. Prescottella) equi. Its description in RNAcentral is "Prescottella equi tRNA-Met". It matches the Rfam family "tRNA". Rfam says of the family: Transfer RNA (tRNA) molecules are approximately 80 nucleotides in length. Their secondary structure includes four short double-helical elements and three loops (D, anti-codon, and T loops). Lineage: Bacteria; Bacillati; Actinomycetota; Actinomycetes; Mycobacteriales; Nocardiaceae. The record is from RNAcentral.